GCCUGUUAUCCCAACUACCAGAGAGGCUGACUCUGAUCUCUUGAGCCUGGGAGUUGUGGGCUUCCGAGGGCUUUGCCGAUUAGGUAUACACUCUAGUUUGGUAUUAAUAUGGUGAACCUUCACCAGCUUGCCUAAGGAGAAGCAGACUAAACCAGGUCAGAAAUAGAGCAGAUUAAAGGUCUUGUGCUUAUCAGCAGUUUUAUUGAGUCAUAUGUAGUAGCCCCUGCACUUCCAGCCUGGGCAACAUAGGGAGACC
Molecule: small RNA, 256 nt
Filed under: Phascolarctos cinereus (koala)
Lineage: Eukaryota; Metazoa; Chordata; Mammalia; Diprotodontia; Phascolarctidae
Description: Metazoan signal recognition particle RNA (ENSPCIG00000015803.2)
Source: RNAcentral